Hipposideros armiger (great roundleaf bat) is the source of this 434-nucleotide long non-coding RNA. RefSeq lists it as uncharacterized. Lineage: Eukaryota; Metazoa; Chordata; Mammalia; Chiroptera; Hipposideridae. The record is from RefSeq and is a predicted model, not a curated record. The transcript is spliced from 3 exons.
GUGUUGGUGGAGAAGUACAGCUGCUAAACGGACAAGUGCGAUAAGCGUUCUUGGGCCGGAUGCACCUCGAGAAGAUGGGUAAAAACACCAGGAGCCAUGCAUCUAUAAAGGAAACCAAACAGGAAAUGUGAUUGUGAAUCAUCUGAAGGCAGACCAUACAGAGAGGGGCCGUGCGGCUUAGUCAGAGAUGAAGACAUUCUACUGGACAGUGUUGCUGCAGAGGCAUCCAGCAAUGGCAUGGACUAUAUUCUGAACUAAUGAGCUCCCUCGGGGAAGUGGCUUGCUGACCUGGAAUGCCCUAAAACUCCCAGGAGCUGAAAUCCAAUGAGACAACAUGGAGGAUGCAUUUUAUGUGUGGUUUGCAAAGAAAGGGGACAAUACAGCACUCUAAGCAGCAAAUCCGUAUUCAAAGAAAAGGUAUUGGCCAGAUAAAA